GAUGAACGCUGGCGGUGUGCCUAACACAUGCAAGUCGAGCGAUUCUCUUCGGAGAAGAGCGGCGGACGGGGUGAGUAACGCGUGGGUAACCUGCCCUGUACACACGGAUAACAUACCGAAAGGUAUGCUAAUACGAGAUAAUAUGCUUUUAUCGCAUGGUAGAAGUAUCAAAGCUCCGGCGGUACAGGAUGGACCCGCGUCUGAUUAGCUAGUUGGUAAGGUAGCGGCUUACCAAGGCGACGAUCAGUAGCCGACCUGAGAGGGUGAUCGGCCACAUUGGAACUGAGACACGGUCCAAACUCCUACGGGAGGCAGCAGUGGGGAAUAUUGCACAAUGGGCGAAAGCCUGAUGCAGCAACGCCGCGUGAGCGAUGAAGGCCUCGGUCGUAAAGACUCUGUCCUCAAGGAAGAUAAUGACGGUAC
RNAcentral lists this ribosomal RNA (423 nucleotides) under uncultured bacterium. RNAcentral describes it as "bacterial SSU rRNA". It matches the Rfam family "Bacterial small subunit ribosomal RNA", at positions 28 to 478 of the family's 1533-position model. The record is from RNAcentral.